CCUACGGGAGGCAGCAGUGGGGAAUUUUGGACAAUGGGCGCAAGCCUGAUCCAGCAAUGCCGCGUGAGUGAAGAAGGCCUUCGGGUUGUAAAGCUCUUUUGUCAGGGAAGAAACGGUGAUUUCUAAUACAGAUUGCUAAUGACGGUACCUGAAGAAUAAGCACCGGCUAACUACGUGCCAGCAGCCGCGGUAAUACGUAGGGUGCAAGCGUUAAUCGGAAUUACUGGGCGUAAAGCGUGCGCAGGCGGUUUUGUAAGACUGUCGUGAAAUCCCCGGGCUCAACCUGGGAAUGGCGAUGGUGACUGCAAGGCUAGAGUUUGGCAGAGGGGGGUAGAAUUCCACGUGUAGCAGUGAAAUGCGUAGAUAUGUGGAGGAACACCGAUGGCGAAGGCAGCCCCCUGGGUCAAAACUGACGCUCAUGCACGAAAGCGUGGGGAGCAAACAGGAUUAGAUACCCUGGUAGUCCACGCCCUAAACGAUGUCUACUAGUUGUCGGGUUUUAAUUAACUUGGUAACGCAGCUAACGCGUGAAGUAGACCGCCUGGGGAGUACGGUCGCAAGAUUAAAACUUCAAAGGAAUUGAACGGCUUGAGACGNGCGAGACGACACGAGGAGGAGG
RNAcentral lists this ribosomal RNA (619 nucleotides) under uncultured bacterium. RNAcentral's name for it is "bacterial SSU rRNA". It matches the Rfam family "Bacterial small subunit ribosomal RNA", at positions 338 to 950 of the family's 1533-position model. The record is from RNAcentral.